This is a long non-coding RNA of Nematolebias whitei (Rio pearlfish), 233 nucleotides long. RefSeq lists it as uncharacterized. NCBI's taxonomy places the organism in Eukaryota, Metazoa, Chordata, Actinopteri, Cyprinodontiformes, Rivulidae. The transcript is spliced from 3 exons. The record is from RefSeq and is a predicted model, not a curated record.
GAACAUGAGAAGUAAAACUAUAAUGAGGAGGAAGCUCAGGACAUCCAGGCUGUGGUACUGGUACCAGCAUCUCUGGAAACAGAAACUGCAGGUCUUGAUGAAGAUGAACAUGAGAAGUAAAACUGUAAUGAGGAGGAAGCUCAGGACAUCCAGGCUGUGGUACUGGUACCAGCAUCUCUGGAAACAGAAACUGCAGGUCUUGAUGAAGAUGAACAUGAGAAGUAAAACUAUAG